This 280-nucleotide long non-coding RNA is filed under the name Elaeis guineensis (African oil palm). RNAcentral describes it as "long non-coding RNA (EGUI_LNC021886)". Lineage: Eukaryota; Viridiplantae; Streptophyta; Magnoliopsida; Arecales; Arecaceae. The record is from RNAcentral.
AGGCCGUUGGUAAGUCGGGAGAUCUCCUCCUCGAGCCUAGCAUCCUGGUCGACCGACGACUUCAGCUGAUCGACCAACGUCGCCUUCUCAGCUUCGACUGCCUCGACCCUAUUCUUCCAAGCCACUCAGAGAUCGUCGAACCUCCGAUACCCGGCCUCCAGCUCGGACAUGUUGUAGAUUAGCUGCUAGUAACAGGCCGAUUGUCAGAAGAUAGAACUAAUAGAAAAUAAUAAUGAAAAUGAAAAGGGAAGAAGAGGAGCUCACCUGAAUCAUAGUCGGG